Molecule: long non-coding RNA, 858 nt
Filed under: Coturnix japonica (Japanese quail)
Lineage: Eukaryota; Metazoa; Chordata; Aves; Galliformes; Phasianidae
Description: lncRNA (ENSCJPG00005008234.1)
Source: RNAcentral
CUCAUUUGGACACCAAAGCAAUUAAAUCAAUUUUAAUCAACAUUAGAUGCUUUCUCGAUGUAGGACUUAUUCUCCUUGUUCUUCAGUUUCUGAUCUGCUGAAUGGAAAUUUUCAAACAUCAUCAGCUGUUCAAAUGUCAUUUUGAACAAUAAAUUUUCACAUCAGAAAGGGCAAAUAAAACCAGGAGAAUACAGAGCACCAUCAGAUAUAGAUGCUAAAUAUUUUACAUUCUGCAACUUUUCCAAGUUGUCUUUUUUUAUAUUAUUAUCUUUCAGAACUGCUCUCUGAUUAUCUCAAAACCUUUAUGAAGCAAAGAACACUGAGGUCACUGGCAUUCUAUGGGACACGUCUUCCUUCCUCAGAGGGCUUUUGGAACAACAGCUGUGAUUUUUCCUGGCUCAUAACAAUCAGCAGCCGUAAGGAAACUGCAGUCAGAAUGGAGGAGACAGAUCUGCUGAUGAAGCACAAGCCUGCUUGCUAUCUCAUCCCUCUCACAGACCCCUUUGUUGGCUCUGUACUGCUGAAAGGAGCAACAUGCAACAAGAACUGGGUUUUGUCAAUUGCAUAAGCAGAUAGAUCUAAAUAUGAAUUACACCCUAUUCAGUCUGCUAAAGUCAAUGGCAACUUUCCAGUUGUAGAGUAGGACUAAAGAAAGGAUCUGUUCAGCAAGAAAGGGAUUUCCAGGAUAAUCACUUUCCUGGGUAGACCUGCAGUGAUUAGUUUAUGUAGACUUUAGUUCUUAAGCUGCUUUCACGCUAUCUGGUUGCCUGCAUACCAUGAUGCUGAAUGUCACUUGUCAAAGGUUGUUACUUCACCGCUGGGUCAUUCAUGCUACUGGCCCUUGCAGAGAAAUGGAAA